Molecule: ribosomal RNA, 446 nt
Filed under: uncultured bacterium
Lineage: Bacteria
Description: SSU rRNA
Rfam family: Bacterial small subunit ribosomal RNA
Source: RNAcentral
AGAGCGAACGCUGGCGGCAGGCUUAACACAUGCAAGUCGAGCGGGCGUAGCAAUACGUCAGCGGCAGACGGGUGAGUAACGCGUGGGAACGUACCUUUUGGUUCGGAACAACCCAGGGAAACUUGGGCUAAUACCGGAUAAGCCCUUACGGGGAAAGAUUUAUCGCCGAAAGAUCGGCCCGCGUCUGAUUAGCUAGUUGGUGAGGUAAUGGCUCACCAAGGCGACGAUCAGUAGCUGGUCUGAGAGGAUGAUCAGCCACAUUGGGACUGAGACACGGCCCAAACUCCUACGGGAGGCAGCAGUGGGGAAUAUUGGACAAUGGGCGCAAGCCUGAUCCAGCCAUGCCGCGUGAGUGAUGAAGGCCCUAGGGUUGUAAAGCUCUUUGUGCGGGAAGAUAAUGACGGUACCGCAAGAAUAAGCCCGGCUAACUUCGUGCCAGCAGCCGC